This 302-nucleotide RNase P RNA is filed under the name Shigella dysenteriae 1012. Its description in RNAcentral is "Bacterial RNase P class A". It matches the Rfam family "Bacterial RNase P class A", at positions 43 to 351 of the family's 367-position model. Rfam says of the family: Ribonuclease P (RNase P) is a ubiquitous endoribonuclease, found in archaea, bacteria and eukarya as well as chloroplasts and mitochondria. Its best characterised activity is the generation of mature 5'-ends of tRNAs by cleaving the 5'-leader elements of precursor-tRNAs. Cellular RNase Ps are ribonucleoproteins. Lineage: Bacteria; Pseudomonadati; Pseudomonadota; Gammaproteobacteria; Enterobacterales; Enterobacteriaceae. The record is from RNAcentral.
GAGGAAAGUCCGGGCUCCAUAGGGCAGGGUGCCAGGUAACGCCUGGGGGGGGAAACCUACGACCAGUGCAACAGAGAGCAAACCGCCGAUGGCCCGCGCAAGCGGGAUCAGGUAAGGGUGAAAGGGUGCGGUAAGAGCGCACCGCGCGGCUGGUAACAGUCCGUGGCACGGUAAACUCCACCCGGAGCAAGGCCAAAUAGGGGUUCAUAAGGUACGGCCCGUACUGAACCCGGGUAGGCUGCUUGAGCCAGUGAGCGAUUGCUGGCCUAGAUGAAUGACUGUCCACGACAGAACCCGGCUUA